RNAcentral lists this ribosomal RNA (1620 nucleotides) under Salmonella enterica subsp. enterica serovar Newport. RNAcentral's name for it is "partial 23S ribosomal RNA". It matches the Rfam family "Bacterial large subunit ribosomal RNA", at positions 98 to 1757 of the family's 2925-position model. Lineage: Bacteria; Pseudomonadati; Pseudomonadota; Gammaproteobacteria; Enterobacterales; Enterobacteriaceae. The record is from RNAcentral.
UUAUAACCGGCGAUUUCCGAAUGGGGAAACCCAGUGUGAUUCGUCACACUAUCAUUAACUGAAUCCAUAGGUUAAUGAGGCGAACCGGGGGAACUGAAACAUCUAAGUACCCCGAGGAAAAGAAAUCAACCGAGAUUCCCCCAGUAGCGGCGAGCGAACGGGGAGGAGCCCAGAGCCUGAAUCAGCAUGUGUGUUAGUGGAAGCGUCUGGAAAGGCGCGCGAUACAGGGUGACAGCCCCGUACACAAAAGCGCAUGUGCUGUGAGCUCGAUGAGUAGGGCGGGACACGUGGUAUCCUGUCUGAAUAUGGGGGGACCAUCCUCCAAGGCUAAAUACUCCUGACUGACCGAUAGUGAACCAGUACCGUGAGGGAAAGGCGAAAAGAACCCCGGCGAGGGGAGUGAAAAAGAACCUGAAACCGUGUACGUACAAGCAGUGGGAGCACAGGUUUACCUGUGUGACUGCGUACCUUUUGUAUAAUGGGUCAGCGACUUAUAUUCUGUAGCAAGGUUAACCGAAUAGGGGAGCCGGAGGGAAACCGAGUCUUAAUUGGGCGUUAAGUUGCAGGGUAUAGACCCGAAACCCGGUGAUCUAGCCAUGGGCAGGUUGAAGGUUGGGUAACACUAACUGGAGGACCGAACCGACUAAUGUUGAAAAAUUAGCGGAUGACCUGUGGCUGGGGGUGAAAGGCCAAUCAAACCGGGAGAUAGCUGGUUCUCCCCGAAAGCUAUUUAGGUAGCGCCUCGUGAAUUCAUCUCCGGGGGUAGAGCACUGUUUCGGCUAGGGGGCCAUCCCGGCUUACCAACCCGAUGCAAACUGCGAAUACCGGAGAAUGUUAUCACGGGAGACACACGGCGGGUGCUAACGUCCGUCGUGAAGAGGGAAACAACCCAGACCGCCAGCUAAGGUCCCAAAGUCAUGGUUAAGUGGGAAACGAUGUGGGAAGGCCCAGACAGCCAGGAUGUUGGCUUAGAAGCAGCCAUCAUUUAAAGAAAGCGUAAUAGCUCACUGGUCGAGUCGGCCUGCGCGGAAGAUGUAACGGGGCUAAACCAUGCACCGAAGCUGCGGCAGCGACACUCAGGUGUUGUUGGGUAGGGGAGCGUUCUGUAAGCCUGUGAAGGUGGCCUGUGAGGGUUGCUGGAGGUAUCAGAAGUGCGAAUGCUGACAUAAGUAACGAUAAAGCGGGUGAAAAGCCCGCUCGCCGGAAGACCAAGGGUUCCUGUCCAACGUUAAUCGGGGCAGGGUGAGUCGACCCCUAAGGCGAGGCCGAAAGGCGUAGUCGAUGGGAAACGGGUUAAUAUUCCCGUACUUGGUGUUACUGCGAAGGGGGGACGGAGAAGGCUAUGUUGGCCGGGCGACGGUUGUCCCGGUUUAAGCGUGUAGGUGUGUGUUCCAGGUAAAUCCGGUUCACUUUAACACUGAGGCGUGAUGACGAGGCACUACGGUGCUGAAGCAACAAAUGCCCUGCUUCCAGGAAAAGCCUCUAAGCAUCAGGUAACAUCAAAUCGUACCCCAAACCGACACAGGUGGUCAGGUAGAGAAUACCAAGGCGCUUGAGAGAACUCGGGUGAAGGAACUAGGCAAAAUGGUGCCGUAACUUCGGGAGAAGGCACGCUGACAC